AUUUUAACUUAUGUUUUAAUGUUAGGGCUUUUAUUUUUGCCGAUCAUUGACAAAAAUUGACUUAUGUAUCGUUUUUAAUAUUCCUUCAAGCUAUAAAACUCCAAGUUAAAUCUUCUCUUUAUGCAACGUUGCCUUGUUAUUUCCUUUACAUGCUACUCUUUCUUUAUCACCUGAAGAAUAAAGUGCAUGCUAUCACCCCGCUUCAGAUAUUCUGCAACUUGAAGAAAGCUCAACUACUAGCUGAACUAUAGCCCUGAUGCAGAUGUUCUAGAAAACUCAUGAUAGUAUUGUACUGUUCGCUUAAAGAAUUGUAUAAUAGAAUGAUCUCCAAUAUUUAGUUUACAAGGAUGUCCAGAAAUCAUUUUCC
Uloborus diversus is the source of this 367-nucleotide long non-coding RNA. RefSeq lists it as uncharacterized. The record is from RefSeq and is a predicted model, not a curated record. Lineage: Eukaryota; Metazoa; Arthropoda; Arachnida; Araneae; Uloboridae. The transcript is spliced from 3 exons.